RNAcentral lists this long non-coding RNA (207 nucleotides) under Elaeis guineensis (African oil palm). RNAcentral's name for it is "long non-coding RNA (EGUI_LNC023296)". The record is from RNAcentral. Lineage: Eukaryota; Viridiplantae; Streptophyta; Magnoliopsida; Arecales; Arecaceae.
AUCAUGAAAAGUAUCUUGUAGUUCUUCAAAGGUGAAAUCUAGGAUAAUUUUACAGGUUACCUCAUCAUUUUAUGCCAUGAGACACAAGUUCACAACAUUUUCAUCACAACAUUUUCAUCUUCUCCAUCAGAGUUAGAUUCAUCGCUGUCGCUUCAUGUGGCAACUAUUUUUUUCUUUUUCAUCUGCUUAUAAUUUUUUUUCAAGUUG